Molecule: long non-coding RNA, 203 nt
Filed under: Musa acuminata (dwarf banana)
Lineage: Eukaryota; Viridiplantae; Streptophyta; Magnoliopsida; Zingiberales; Musaceae
Description: long non-coding RNA (MACU_LNC004820)
Source: RNAcentral
AAAAACUGGCACCAGCAAAAGUUCAGUUUAGCAGAGGGGAAUAAAAGAAAAAAGAAAAAAAAAAAGACAUCUGUAGAUGUUGCCAAGUUUUAGUUUGGGUUGGCUCAAACUAAAAGUCAUUUGUCAUCAAAUCGUAUGAUAUUUCACAUUUGCCUUGGUUGAUACCAGCUAUCGAAAACUUAAACCACCAAAAUGUUGGUGGC